UUAUGACAAUUUUGAUAUUAUAGUUGGCUUAUUUAUGGGGUGGGGUUUAGUUAGUAAUGGGUGGGUAGUGGAUUGGUUUAUAAAUAAUACAAAUAAAUUAAAGUAUAAGCAAUAGUUGAACAUCAAGUAUUUUAAAAAUAUUUAAAUAGUUUAAAUUUAAAAUCAUUAAAUAAGUGGUCAAUUUUGAACUCAAACGUGGAUGACAAGGGUAUUUUAGAGCCAAUAGGUGGAUGAAAAGGGCAUUUUGGAGCCAAUAGGUGGAUGAAGGGUAAUUUUGUACCAUUUUCAAUACUUCAAGGGUAUUUUAGACCCUUUUCCGAACAUAAUAUUAGAUUAGCUACUUAUCGAUUCAAAUAAACAUAGAAACAAAUUCUUAUCGAAAAGCAUUCACUGCUCACUCCCUUUUUGUUAUUUAUUUUACUCACACAACUCAAUCAACUGAAUAACAAUAAUAUGAUCUGGACUAGUAUAAAGAUUUAAGAGUGAUUACUAAUUACCUGAAGAAAAAUUCAUUUUUUCCAACCACCGGAAGAAGACGUAAUUCUCGCCCAACUCUUUUCUAAUUUUUUUUCCUCGGCGGCUGCGUGAACUGCUUCUCUCCACUACAGCCAUCAACAUUGCCCUUAUAUUGUUUUUAUUAUUAUUUAUUUAUUUAUCUUUUCUAUUAUUAUUAGCAACAAAAUAAUCUUUGGUUAAAUAUGAAAAUAAUUUCACCCAUUCUUAUAAGUCAUAAUUUAUUUAUAAAAAUUAUUUAAAAUGAUUAAUAUAAGAAUAAUGAUUAAAGUUUAUAAAACGACUAAGAGGGUCGUUAUAUUAUCCACCACUAAAAAUCAUGUUCGCCCUCGAACAUAAGGAAGAAGAAGGAAGAAUAAACGACGUUACCAAAAUCCUAAGGUAUGAUCUUCUAGAGUCGGUGUUCGUCUCUCUAAGUGGGCUCUUCCUUAAGACCAUUCCAUUCAAGAUUAACUACUAAGAACUGAUCCUUCCAAUUAAACUUGAAAAAAUUUACAAAUCACGAGUGAUUAUCAACCUAUAGACUAAUCUAUGAACCAAAUCUAAAAUGAAACCCUCUGGACCAUAACUUAAACAUCGUGACGAUUCUUUUCUCAUAUAACCAAGAGAACAUUCUGAAUCAGUAGUGACUACAACAAGAAGUUAGUUUGAAUUAACCACCUAACACUCAUACUGUACAAAUCAUCACAAUAUUUUUUUUAUCGCUUCCCUUAGCACAAUCUUUCCACUAGCAUAAGUUAUAUAUAUAUAUAUAUAUAUAUAUAUAUAUAUAUAUAUAUAUAUAUAUAAAUCUUUAGACAUCGAGUAUUCAUUAAGGGAUAAUCAAACUUAUCUAAUCCAAGGAAAAACAAGAAUAAAGUAAGCACCCAAAGACCGAUAUAUUCUAGGAUGCACAACUUUUAACAACACUGUUGUAUAACUGUAGCUAUUCACAAGAACUCUUCUAUAAGUUAUCAUAGGCAAGGUCAUGCAUAUAUAAACAACAAUAAACUUUUACUUUCCCAAACAACAUCGAAAUAUACCAUAACUGAAGUGACCAAGUCUUCACAAGGAUGCCAGUCUACCAUGAAGACAAUCACAUGAUCGGUACACCCGAUCCACCACUAGGAAUUCAUCCAUAGAUAUGAAAACACGUGUAGGUAUAGGUAGCGAAUCACACUUCAAACUAUAUCCAAAACGUAGUUGAUGGUCAUAUAAGAAUACACAGAACCAGAGUCGAAUAACACUAGAUACUUCUUUGAUAGUGUCCAUGUUAAACAUUUACAUUCAUAUGACUCUAUCUCUUUAAUUAUUAUAGCUACCCACAAUCAACUAGUCUGGUGCUUAUUAUAAUCGUAUACAUACUUGAUUUAUAAAACCUCACAUAUUCUUAUAGUACUCUACUGAAGUUAAAAAAAAAAUUAUACUAACAAACAUCAAAAUCACACCGGUCAUUUGUCUUACUCUCAAACCAUCACUAGUAUCAAAGUCUUCCUAGCAAGCACAUUGUAGCCUCCAAAAUUUUUGAAUUAUGACUCCCUUUCUUUCUAUUUAAGCAUGCGUUGAUAGAUAUGGGUACACACCCAAGGUUGAUAACACUAAUUUCGAAUAUGAUAUUAGUUCCUCCUCGACAUAAAACUAUUGAAUUACGUUCAAUGUAAUAUCCACACAAUCUUUCACAUGCAAAGUUUUAACUAUCAUUCAAACCAUCAUAUAUCUCGUGCCAAAACUUAGAGAAACUCUCAAUCAAUCCAAUAAUUCGGUAUAAUAUAAGCUCAUAACCUCCAUUCACCAUCAAAUACAUAUAUAACACAUCAUAACAGUCUAUAUCGUCCCACGACAAAGUAGUUUCAAUCCCUUCAAAUCCUCAUUAAUCAUGUAAAAUUGUAGGUUUACACCGUUGAACAUCAAUAAGUUACCUAUUAUGAUUUGAACAAUCUAACUUUACAUAACCAAGUAGAAUCCUUCACACGCAGUUGCUUGUCACCUGAUCAAACUCAAUCCUUAUCAAAGUCGUUGAUAACGCCUAGUAAGUCUGUACCGAAUCAGUUCACAUCUCAUAGUAAUAUCUUAAUUAAAAGGUUAAAAUCCAUAUAACCUUAAAUUCUGAACCAAGGGUCUAUACGAAGGGUCUUACUCUUUUACCUUUCUUAAAUUCUUCUCAUAAUGCAAUUAUUAAAUAUUUUAAAUCGUUAAUAUAUCAAACUUUUUUUUUGUCUCGCUUACUUGCUUACCUAUCUUAUCCUUUGACCAACUCAUUAUAUUUUUACAUUACCCUCUAACCAAAACAUUGCAUGAAACCUUCCUCAAGUAUAACAAUCAAAAGUAAUCAAAUUUACUACUCAAAUUAUUUUUAAAUCCUUCCAAAUGCUUCAUACUCAAUGUUAUCGAUUAUUUCUUACUUUUCCAAUUCAUACCUUGACAAAACAGACUAUCACAAAUCUAAAUUCACAAUUAAAAGCUUGAAUUUAUUCCAAACAUGUAACACAACCGUUUUAUCUAUCAACAUUAACUCAUAUCUUGAAGAUUUUUAUGAAUUCAUGUAUCUUAGCUUACAUUGAUCGCCUCUCCAUCAAUCAUAUCAUAUCCUUUGCCAAAACUUCAACUGUACUCAUUACCAACUUAUAAACAUAAAAAAAUACAUAUAAUCACACUCGAGUUGAACAUUUAUAUACACUCUUUUCUCAAGUUAUCCAAUAGUAAUUUUUUUGAUUUAAAUCAAUCAGUUGAUCUGGUGACACUAUAUAUUAUCAUAAUCAGGGCAAAAAGAUGAAAUCACAUAUCUCUGAAUUUAAUUAUCCACUCUUUCUGACAUCUUUGACCCUUAUAAUCUGAGUAAUAUCCUUGUUCUCACCUCCUUCUAAAGGUUAAACUACAUCCCACUAAUUCAUUCCAUUCUGGCUCUAGCUCCUUUCAAUUAUAUUCGAGUGACAUCAUAAUUCCUCAUAAAAAUUACCAUACAACCAUGCUAGUCACAAACAGUAGUAAACCAUAACUCAGACAUUCGAAAGUCACCCUUAUCAUACAAAAGUCUUUUAACCAACAAAACUUAUCAUAUAGUUGCAACCUAAUCAUCAUCCAUCACAAACUCUAGUUAUCACUAUGUAUAGUCAUCCCUUAUCAUUACCACAAAGUCAACCUUGUCAUGACAUGACAUCUCAAACUCAACUAUACCAAUCGAAUUCAACAGACUAACUUAACUUUAUACACAUUUUCUUUAAAAAAAUUCAAUUGUCUUCACCAAAGUAUACUCGUUGGGAUUUGCUUUACAUAUAAGAUAGUCAUUCCAAUAUUAAUCCACUCAAUUGGGGCUUAUGAUAAAAUAACCACUGCUCAUUUUGAAUCCUAAGGAUACACAUCAUAACCUACUCACACAUUAAUAUUAUACCAAAGAUCCACCACUAAAAGCUUUCUUAUAAAUAAUGCUUAACUCAUUCGUUCGUAGUAACAAGCUAGUUGGUUUUCAAAUAUGAAUGUAACAUAAAAUCUUAUUAUAUGAGUAUAUGAUAAAAUUGAUAGUUCCUUAAGUAGUUAUUGUUCACACUUAACAUCGAAUUAUCAAUUUUUAUAUAACACUAGUACCACAUCACGAAAUUUCAUUAGAUCCAUCACUAAAACACAUCAUACCUCCUGGAAAGAUUGUACUCAAAUCUCACAUAUUUCUAUAAGUUGAGUGGUUGUAGUACAUUACCAAAUCCAUUUGAUCUCUAAUCCAAUCGUUAUGCACUAUUUCAUAGAUUAGUUCGAUAAUAGAAGUAACACGCUCCAUAACACUAACCAAGUAAACAUCUAUACUAAGUAGUCAUACCAUCAUUUUCUUAAAUAUACAAAACCUAUAAAAUCGUAAUAGUUCUAACCUCCAUUGGUCCAUCAGUAUUCCUAUCAUCUUCUAAGCAACCCAUUAAUGGUAUGACAACUAUAUCAAUUGUAUUACGCUAUUUAUUAUCUAGUCAAUUCUUCAAACAUUUAAAUUCUAAUUGUCGAACCACUCCAUAUUUUGCUUAUACAAGAUAAGUACUAUAUUUAUUAUUAUUAUUUUACAAUGAUAACUAACCUUACUCAACUCUUUCAAAUAUGAUCACACAUUCGUUUCAUAAGUAUAGCAUUUCCACCUUAAUACCAAAUCUAACAUCAAACCAAUACACGACAUGCCAAUGAUUCACAAAAGGAACUACGCACGAGUCAUCACAUAAAUGAGAGCGAAUGGAGUGAAGCGCUAAGAAUCAAAAUGGGACCAAGUACGCACAAUAGAGAUCCAAGAAAUAAAGAUAUUUCCUAAAAGUCACUACAGCCUCUCUAAGAUAGGUACAGACGUCUCCGUACCGAUCAUCGAGACUCUAUUUAGACUCGACUUGUACACACGUGAGACCUAUGAACCUGGGGCUCUGAUAUCAUUUUGUCACGAUCCAAAAAUAGACGUGAUGGCACUUGUCUUAUCCCACCAAGACAAGUCAGCCUAAAACUCAACUUAUUACAAUAAAAUGCGGAAAAUUUACUAUCGACUUAUAUUAUAACCCAAAACCUGGUUGUCACGUGUACAAGCCUCUAAAGUAUUACAACUGAUUCAAAAGAAAACUCAAGUCUCAAAUGAACUUGUUUCUAGAAUAAAACAAGAACAUAAUUACGGAGAAGAAAGUCUGCUGCGAUGGAAACAGCUACCUAACAAAUCUCCAAGAAGCCUCGGAAAAGAAGAGAAUGACAAGUACAACAAAAAUCCAGGCUCAUAACCUAUAAAAAUUUGUAGAAGCAAGGGGUCAGUACCAAACCACACGGUACUCAGCAAGUAAACGUCUAAACACAAGCUAAGAGGAUGAAAUACGUGUACUCCUACCACCCCAACCCAACCUCCACAAUUACAAACUGCAUAAAAAUUCAGUCUAACCUAACAGUUCAUAUUUACAUAGCACGUAACUCUACAACAACACUUAGACAAAUUACAUAUACAUCCUCCACAACCACACUUUACCAAAUUACAUAUCCUCAAUAAAAACACUUCAACAAAUUACAUAUCCUCGAUAAAAACACUUCAACAAAUUACAUACCCUCAACAACAACAAUUCAACAAAUUAUAUAUCCUCAAUAACAAGCUCAGUAUUUAUCAAUCACAAAUUUCGCAGAAAGUCAAUCACAAGAUCAGCAAAACACAAUAUCAAGUUCACCAAUGAUAAGUAUGUGUAAUGCAAUGUCAAGUAUAAUGAUGCAUGUCUUACCUAGUGAUACACACCCGCUGUCUCUCAGUCCGGGACCCAUGGGGGACAUAUCUGUCCAUGCAUCUGUCGCGGCGCACGACACGACCCUCGAUAAUAGUAAUCAUCGCAGCGCGCAAUACGUCCCUCGAAAUAUAGUAUCCAUCGCGGCGCGCGAUACGUCCCUCGAAAUUGUACAUCCUCUUAAGUACUCAUUCUUUCUCAAUGCACAUAACACUUGUCACAACCAAUGCCUCAUAAUAAUGCAGAUGACAAGUUCACACAAAUAAUGAGGAGAUGACCAUUUUCAUAACAUUGCACAAUUCAAAACCACACAAACAUGAAAUCACAUCAACAAUGAUUCAACAAUCCUUCAUCCCUUUCUGAACACAUCACACUUAAAUAUUUAAUCACAUUGCCUUUUUUUAAUCCCUUUUUUUUCAUCAUUAGAUUAAUCAAUGUGGACAAGUCAAUCCAUCACCAAUCCUGUUACUCCCAAACAUAUACCACAAGAAAAUACACGCAUUUCAUACACUUAACAAGAGUUUAGAAAUCCACUUGCCUCAAUCAAUCGAGAAUUCACUCCGAGACUUGGGUUUUCCCCUUUUGCUGAACUUCCAACUCAAGCAAUCUAUUGACAUUAAUAAUCACGAUAAGAUUUUGAAGCUUACAACACCCAAAUUAAUAUUUAAGUUUUCAAAUAUCGAUGUUAUUUAGUAUGUUAAUUCUUAUAUUUUUCCAAAUUUUAAGUCUAGGGUUAAGUCUCAAUUCCUCCAGUUUGAUGAAUUUAAUUAUAUUCAUAUAAUAUAAUGCACAUACUAUUUAACAACAUAUCCCAUCAUCUCAAAACUUGAACCAUAACAAAGUUAUAAUUAAUAAAAAUAAAUUAUAGAGCACUCGAACCUAGUUACAAAAAUCGGCAUUUACUUACGGGAAUAUAACAAUCUGCAUAUUCAUAUAACCUAAAAUUUUCCCCACCCUUAUCCUCUAAUCAUUGGCAUAUAAUUAGCCUCAACCCAUUAUAAUAUAAUAUUACAAAUAUCUAAUGUUAUAUAAUAAUAAUAAUAAUAAUAAUAAUAAUAGUACCAACACUUAGUUUUUUCCAAAAUAGUUGUAACAAUAAAAUAAAAGAAAGGCCCAAAUUAUUAUCAAGUUACAUACAGUAACUGAAAUGGAGAAAAUCAAACACUUGAACCCCUUUCCAUACGUAUAAACCUCUUGAGCAUUUUUUUUAUUUCAAUAUCUCGAAUGAAAAAGAAUUUGGUCAUCAAUUAAUGACGACUUUUAGAUCUUAUCCCCACCAAAACUUCCAAAACAAACUGCUAGACUCCUUCCGAUUUCCUUAUUUAACAAGCAUAUUAUAAAACAUAAUAUUAGAUUAGCUACUUAUCGAUUCAAAUAAAC
This 7082-nucleotide long non-coding RNA is filed under the name Solanum lycopersicum (tomato). RNAcentral describes it as "long non-coding RNA (SLYC_LNC000155)". Lineage: Eukaryota; Viridiplantae; Streptophyta; Magnoliopsida; Solanales; Solanaceae. The record is from RNAcentral.